UGGGGAAUUUUGGACAAUGGGCGCAAGCCUGAUCCAGCAAUGCCGCGUGCAGGAUGAAGGCCUUCGGGUUGUAAACUGCUUUUGUACGGAGCGAAAAGGUCUGCCCUAAUACGGUGGGCUCAUGACGGUACCGUAAGAAUAAGCACCGGCUAACUACGUGCCAGCAGCCGCGGUAAUGCGGAGGGUGCGAGCGUUAAUCGGAAUUACUGGGCGUAAAGCGUGCGCAGGCGGUUAUAUAAGACAGGUGUGAAAUCCCCGGGCUCAACCUGGGACCUGCAUUUGUGACCGUAUAGCUAGAGUACGGUAGAGGGGGAUGGAAUUCCGCGUGUAGCAGUGAAAUGCGUAGAUAUGCGGAGGAACACCGAUGGCGAAGGCAAUCCGCUGGACCUGUACUGACGCUCAUGCACGAAAGCGUGGGGAGCAAACA
RNAcentral lists this ribosomal RNA (427 nucleotides) under uncultured bacterium. Its description in RNAcentral is "bacterial SSU rRNA". It matches the Rfam family "Bacterial small subunit ribosomal RNA", at positions 355 to 774 of the family's 1533-position model. The record is from RNAcentral.